UCGGCGAUGGUGUAGCGGGUAAACAUAUUGUACUCAUAAUGCAAAGCCGGACGUUCGAGCCGUCCUCGCCGGC
This is a non-coding RNA of Tulasnella sp. 424, 73 nucleotides long. Lineage: Eukaryota; Fungi; Basidiomycota; Agaricomycetes; Cantharellales; Tulasnellaceae. The record is from the annotation of a GenBank genome assembly.